AUACUUACCUGGCAGGGGAAAUUCCAUGAUCACGAAAGUGGUUUUCCCAGGUCGAGGCUUAGCUAUUGCACUCCAGAUGUGCUAACCCCUGCGAUUUCCCCAAAUGUGGGAAACUCGAAUGCAUAAUUUGUGGUAGUGGGGGACUGCAUUCACACACACACACA
RNAcentral lists this small nuclear RNA (164 nucleotides) under Cercocebus atys (sooty mangabey). RNAcentral's name for it is "U1 spliceosomal RNA (ENSCATG00000006013.1)". It matches the Rfam family "U1 spliceosomal RNA". Rfam says of the family: U1 is a small nuclear RNA (snRNA) component of the spliceosome (involved in pre-mRNA splicing). Lineage: Eukaryota; Metazoa; Chordata; Mammalia; Primates; Cercopithecidae. The record is from Rfam by way of RNAcentral.